UAACGCGUGAGCAAUCUGCCUUUAAGAGGGGGAUAACAGUCGGAAACGGCUGCUAAUACCGCAUAAAGCAUCAAAUUCGCAUGUUUUUGAUGCCAAAGGAGCAAUCCGCUUUUAGAUGAGCUCGCGUCUGAUUAGCUAGUUGGCGGGGUAACGGCCCACCAAGGCGACAAUCAGUAGCCGGACUGAGAGGUUGAACGGCCACAUUGGGACUGAGACACGGCCCAG
Molecule: ribosomal RNA, 225 nt
Filed under: uncultured bacterium
Lineage: Bacteria
Description: partial 16S ribosomal RNA
Rfam family: Bacterial small subunit ribosomal RNA
Source: RNAcentral